RNAcentral lists this ribosomal RNA (468 nucleotides) under uncultured bacterium. RNAcentral describes it as "partial 16S ribosomal RNA". It matches the Rfam family "Bacterial small subunit ribosomal RNA", at positions 28 to 507 of the family's 1533-position model. The record is from RNAcentral.
GACGAACGCUGGCGGUGUGCUUAACACAUGCAAGUCGAACGGUAUGGCCCUUUCGGGGGUACACGAGUGGCGAACGGGUGAGUAACACGUGAGUAACCUGCCCUCAUCUCUGGGAUAACAGUCGGAAACGGUUGCUAAUACUGGAUAUGAGCUUGCAAGGCAUCUUGUGGGUUGGAAAGAUUUUUUUUGGUUGGGGAUGGACUCGCGGCCUAUCAGCUUGUUGGUGAGGUAGUGGCUCACCAAGGCUUCGACGGGUAGCCGGCCUGAGAGGGCGACCGGCCACAUUGGGACUGAGAUACGGCCCAAACUCCUACGGGAGGCAGCAGUGGGGAAUAUUGCACAAUGGACGGAAGUCUGAUGCAGCAACGCCGCGUGCGGGAUGACGGCCUUCGGGUUGUAAACCGCUUUCAAUUGUGACGAAGCUUUUUUGUGACGGUAGCAGUAGAAGAAGCACCGGCUAACUACGUG